Small nuclear RNA from Dipodomys spectabilis (banner-tailed kangaroo rat), 107 nucleotides. Lineage: Eukaryota; Metazoa; Chordata; Mammalia; Rodentia; Heteromyidae. The record is from RefSeq and is a predicted model, not a curated record.
GUGCUUGGUUCAGCAGCACAUAUACUAAAAUUGGAAUAUACAGAGAAGAUUAGCAAGGCCCCUUUGUACAGGAUGACACAUAUACUCAUGAAUCAUUUCAUAUAUAU